RNAcentral lists this long non-coding RNA (1022 nucleotides) under Salmo salar (Atlantic salmon). Its description in RNAcentral is "lncRNA (ENSSSAG00000105735.1)". The record is from RNAcentral. Lineage: Eukaryota; Metazoa; Chordata; Actinopteri; Salmoniformes; Salmonidae.
CUCGAACCAGGGACCCUCUGCACACAUAAACAACUGACACCCCACGAAGCAUCGUUACCCAUCGCGCCACAAAAGCCGCGGCCCUUUGCAACGGGGAAACCCUACUUCAAGUCUCAGAGCGAGUGACGUCACUGAUUGAAACGCUAUUAGCGCGCACCACCGCUAACUAACUAGCCAUUUCACAUCAGUUGCACGUGGACAAGUUUCAUUUCAUUUAUAAUAACGUGUUCAUAUCUCAAAAUAUCAUUGUCGUGUUGUAAAUCAAAAUUCUAUCCAAAUCUAAAUGAAAAUAAUACAAACCUAAAAAGUAACUUUUAUUGCCAAAUAUGGUAAAAAAAGAAUACAUAAAGCCAACCAAUCAAAACAUUGCAACCUGCAGAUAGAGAAAAAAAAAAUCCUGAUUUAAAAAAAAUCCUAUAAAUCACAUUGGCUACAUAUGGCCUGUCUGCAACAAACUGGACACAUUGUAUAAAAUAUUAACUUGAGUCCGACCAAGCAAAUUUAUAACAUUGUAUUAAAAUAUUCUGGGCCUUUAAGAGUUUCCCGACAGGCUGUUGGUUCUUUGAGCAAAGUGGAUAAGAAGCAGUGCUUGACUUGGCCAGGAGCUGAGGUGGCACGUACCUGACCAGUAGAAGGGGUUAUUUGUUAUUGUAGUUUGUUCAGGACGUGGCAGGGGGUGUUUGUUUUAUGUGGUUCGGGGGUUUGUUGGGAUAUGUGUUUAUGUAAGAGGGGUGUUUGUUUAGAGUAUUCCAGGGUUUUUGGUUAUUGUUCUAUGUUUUGUAUUUCUAUGCUCUGUCUAUGUUGUGUAUUUCUUUGUGUUGGCCUGGUAUGGCUCUCAAUCAGGAACAGCUGUACAUCGUUGUUGCUCAUUGGGAGUCAUACUUAGGUAGCCCUGUUUUCACCUGUCAUUGGUGGGAAGUUGUUUUUGCAUUGCUGUGUGUAGCCUGCAAGACUGUUUGUCGUUCGUUCGUUCGUUUUCUUAUUUAGUUAUUUAGUGUUAAAUAAAAGUUUAAUAUGAGCAC